This 101-nucleotide non-coding RNA is filed under the name Nomascus leucogenys (northern white-cheeked gibbon). The record is from RNAcentral. Lineage: Eukaryota; Metazoa; Chordata; Mammalia; Primates; Hylobatidae.
GGCUCAUCUGAAGGUAUUAAGUUCCCUUGAUUGUGCAGUCAGUUCCAAAUACAACUCCUUAUUUUACUCUUUCCCCCUUCUGACUACUGCACUUGACUAAA